This 22-nucleotide non-coding RNA is filed under the name Mus musculus (house mouse). The record is from RNAcentral. Lineage: Eukaryota; Metazoa; Chordata; Mammalia; Rodentia; Muridae.
UAAGCUUACAGACCAAUCAAAG